AUGAACGCUGGCGGCGUGCCUAAUACAUGCAAGUCGAGCGAACAGAUGAGGAGCUUGCUCCUCUGACGUUAGCGGCGGACGGGUUAGUAACACGUGGAUAACCUACCUAUAAGACUGGGAUAACUUCGGGAAACCGGAGCUAAUACCGGAUAAUAUAUUGAACCGCAUGGUUCAAUAGUGAAAGACGGUUUUGCUGUCACUUAUAGCUGGAUCCGCGCCGCAUUAGCUAGUUGGUAAGGUAACGGCUUACCAAGGCAACGAUGCGUAGCCGACCUGAGAGGGUGAUCGGCCACACUGGAACUGAGACACGGUCCAGACUCCUACGGGAGGCAGCAGUAGGGAAUCUUCCGCAAUGGGCGAAAGCCUGACGGAGCAACGCCGCGUGAGUGAUGAAGGUCUUCGGAUCGUAAAACUCUGUUAUUAGGGAAGAACAAAUGUGUAAGUAACUAUGCACGUCUUGACGGUACCUAAUCAGAAAGCCACGGCUAACUACGUG
RNAcentral lists this ribosomal RNA (496 nucleotides) under uncultured bacterium. Its description in RNAcentral is "partial 16S ribosomal RNA". It matches the Rfam family "Bacterial small subunit ribosomal RNA", at positions 29 to 507 of the family's 1533-position model. The record is from RNAcentral.